RNAcentral lists this long non-coding RNA (220 nucleotides) under Setaria italica (foxtail millet). RNAcentral's name for it is "long non-coding RNA (SITA_LNC001111)". Lineage: Eukaryota; Viridiplantae; Streptophyta; Magnoliopsida; Poales; Poaceae. The record is from RNAcentral.
UAUGGUUAUGGUUGUGCCAUAUGCUUAUGGCUUAUGUUUAUAUUAAUUGUGGGUUGGUAUAUACUUAUACCUUAGUAAUCAGGUGCUAAUAAAAUUUGACCAACUAAAAAUGCUUAAUGCAGUCAACCAGUCAGCCUUUCCUUGUUUAACCCUUGCAUUCAUAUUCUCCUCACACUUGCUGAGUACGACAAGUGUUCACCCUUGCUAUAAACAACGUUGC